UACGGAGGGUGCAAGCGUUGCUCGGAAUUAUUGGGCGUAAAGGGUAGGUAGGUGGUCUCAUUUGUCUGGGGUGAAAGCCUUGAGCUUAACUCAAGAAGUGCCCCAGAAACGGUGAGACUGGAGUCCUGGAGAGGGUCGUGGAAUUCCCGGUGUAGCGGUGAAUGCGUAGAGAUCGGAGGAACACCUGCGGCGAAGGCGGUUUGCUGGCUGAUACUGACGCUGAGGCGCGAAAGCUAGGGAGCGAACGGGA
This 250-nucleotide ribosomal RNA is filed under the name uncultured bacterium. RNAcentral describes it as "partial 16S ribosomal RNA". It matches the Rfam family "Bacterial small subunit ribosomal RNA", at positions 524 to 777 of the family's 1533-position model. The record is from RNAcentral.